RNAcentral lists this ribosomal RNA (266 nucleotides) under uncultured Staphylococcus sp. Its description in RNAcentral is "partial 16S ribosomal RNA". It matches the Rfam family "Bacterial small subunit ribosomal RNA", at positions 96 to 354 of the family's 1533-position model. Lineage: Bacteria; Bacillati; Bacillota; Bacilli; Caryophanales; Staphylococcaceae. The record is from RNAcentral.
CGGCGGACGGGUGAGUAACACGUGGAUAACCUACCUAUAAGACUGGGAUAACUUCGGGAAACCGGAGCUAAUACCGGAUAAUAUAUUGAACCGCAUGGUUCAAUAGUGAAAGACGGUUUUGCUGUCACUUAUAGAUGGAUCCGCGCCGCAUUAGCUAGUUGGUAAGGUAACGGCUUACCAAGGCAGCGAUGCGUAGCCGACCCGAGAGGGUGAUCGGCCACACUGGAACUGAGACACGGUCCAGACUCCUACGGGAGGCAGCAGGG